RNAcentral lists this ribosomal RNA (482 nucleotides) under uncultured bacterium. Its description in RNAcentral is "bacterial SSU rRNA". It matches the Rfam family "Bacterial small subunit ribosomal RNA", at positions 32 to 521 of the family's 1533-position model. The record is from RNAcentral.
AAUCAACGCUGGCGGCGUGCCUCAGACAUGCAAGUCGAACGAUUAAAGCUCUCUUCGGAGAGUGCAUAGAGUGGCGCACGGGUGAGUAACACGUAAGUAAUCUACCUUCGAGUGGGGAAUAACGUCCGGAAACGGACGCUAAUACCGCAUAAUGCAGCGGCAUCGCAAGAUGACAGUUGUUAAAGGAGCAAUUCGCUUGAAGAGGAGCUUGCGGCAGAUUAGCUAGUUGGUAAGGUAAUGGCUUACCAGGGCUACGAUCUGUAACCGGUCUUAGAGGACGGUCGGUCACACUGACACUGAAUAACGGGUCAGACUCCUACGGGAGGCAGCAGUCGGGAAUUUUGGGCAAUGGGCGAAAGCCUGACCCAGCAACGCCGCGUGAAGGAUGAAGUAUUUCGGUAUGUAAACUUCGAAAGAAUAGGGAAGAAUAAAUGACGGUACCAUUUAUAAGGUCCGGCUAACUACGUGCCAGCAGCCGCGGU